GGAUGCGAUCAUACCAGCAGUGAAGCACCGGAUCCCAUCAAAACUCGGAAGUUAAGGUGCUUGGGUGAGAGUAGUACUAGGAUGGGCGACCUCCUCGGAAGUCCUCGUGUUGCAUUCC
RNAcentral lists this ribosomal RNA (118 nucleotides) under Hordeum vulgare subsp. vulgare (domesticated barley). Lineage: Eukaryota; Viridiplantae; Streptophyta; Magnoliopsida; Poales; Poaceae. The record is from RNAcentral.